This is a long non-coding RNA of Ictalurus punctatus (channel catfish), 998 nucleotides long. NCBI's taxonomy places the organism in Eukaryota, Metazoa, Chordata, Actinopteri, Siluriformes, Ictaluridae. The record is from Ensembl.
UGGUGAUUCCGAGUUCCUCGCUCCCCCGGCAUUCCCGCUUCCCGCUUCCCUUCAGUCUUACAGCAGCGCUGGUGGCGCGUGCAUUGAGGCAAAUUGGCGCUGAAGAUCGCGUAAAGUGAUCGCUACAUUUAGCCGGUGGCUGAAUGAUGUGUGUGUCGAGCCGCGUUACCUGUGAUAGUAGGGAGUUAAGUCUUGCCGAAGACGCUACAUGAGACGCCGCUGCUGUUUUGCUUAGUGGGUUGUUUUUGCUUCAGCAAUUGUUUUGCUUUACCUGGUUUUUGUUUAACAGUCAUGUUCUCCGUUUGAUUUAUUGUUUUGCUUCAUGGUUUUAUGUAUUUUGUUUUACUUUAGUUUUGGGUGUAUGUCUGGCUUUGUUUUGUAACCACAUAUAGUAAGAGAGUGAGUAGUAAAACUAGUGUUUCCUAGCCUCAAAUCUGUUUGAGAUUUGUUGUUCCACCUAACCACUUUACUACUGAGAGGAUGUAUGUUAACCCUUACUGUCUCCAUGCUAUAGUGGCCAUAAUUGUCAUUUGUACUGUUUACCAUAAUUCUGGUUCUGCUUGGGUGUUGUCAACUGUCUCCAUUUCUUGUGGUGGUGUCAGUGGGCCUGGGUGUUAAAAUAGCUACCAUACCACAGUGUCUGUAAUAUUUGUCUUUCUGUGUCUUGUUUAGUGUCUGUGUAAUUUUGGGUUAACUGGUGUCGUCUUUCUCUCCAGGAGCUAGUGAGUCUUGGUGGGACAGGGGUGGCUAGCUGCAUUUAUUCAGGAGUGUGCUUCACAGCAUGCUCAGUGUGCCAACACAACAACUUCCUUAUGGUAGGGUUUGGAUGACUUCCCGAGUUGUAGCUGGCCUGCCUUGUCCCUGCCAAGCCUGGGCCUGGAGAAGUUCUUAGUUUUAAAAUAAUUACUGUGCUUCAUGUGAAAGCAAUUUUCUAUUUUCAUGUUAAGUUUUAAAUGAUGCUUACGUGUCAUAAUAAAAUACAAACUUCUAUACUUGUA